RNAcentral lists this ribosomal RNA (465 nucleotides) under uncultured bacterium. RNAcentral's name for it is "partial 16S ribosomal RNA". It matches the Rfam family "Bacterial small subunit ribosomal RNA", at positions 28 to 507 of the family's 1533-position model. The record is from RNAcentral.
GACGGACGCUGGCGGCGUGCUUAACACAUGCAAGUCGAACGGAAAGGCCCCAGCUUGCUGGGGUACUCGAGUGGCGAACGGGUGAGUAACACGUGGGUGAUCUGCCCUGCACUCUGGGAUAAGCCUGGGAAACUGGGUCUAAUACCGGAUAGGACCGUGCUUUAGUGUGUGCGGUGGAAAGUUUUUCGGUGCAGGAUGAGCCCGCGGCCUAUCAGCUUGUUGGUGGGGUAAUGGCCUACCAAGGCGGCGACGGGUAGCCGGCCUGAGAGGGUGUACGGCCACAUUGGGACUGAGACACGGCCCAGACUCCUACGGGAGGCAGCAGUGGGGAAUAUUGCACAAUGGGCGGAAGCCUGAUGCAGCGACGCCGCGUGGGGGAUGACGGCCUUCGGGUUGUAAACCCCUUUCGGCAGGGACGAAGCUUUUGUGACGGUACCUGCAGAAGAAGCACCGGCUAACUACGUG